This 265-nucleotide ribosomal RNA is filed under the name Helicobacter pylori. Its description in RNAcentral is "partial 23S ribosomal RNA". It matches the Rfam family "Bacterial large subunit ribosomal RNA", at positions 1877 to 2139 of the family's 2925-position model. The record is from RNAcentral. Lineage: Bacteria; Pseudomonadati; Campylobacterota; Epsilonproteobacteria; Campylobacterales; Helicobacteraceae.
UUAAGAGGAUGCGUCAGUCGCAAGAUGAAGCGUUGAAUUGAAGCCCGAGUAAACGGCGGCCGUAACUAUAACGGUCCUAAGGUAGCGAAAUUCCUUGUCGGUUAAAUACCGACCUGCAUGAAUGGCGUAACGAGAUGGGAGCUGUCUCAACCAGAGAUUCAGUGAAAUUGUAGUGGAGGUGAAAAUUCCUCCUACCCGCGGCAAGACGGAGAGACCCCGUGGACCUUUACUACAACUUAGCACUGCUAAUGGGAAUAUCAUGCGA